CAGUAGCCGCGGGAAUACGUAGGUGGCAAGCGUUGUCCGGAAUUAUUGGGCGUAAAGCGCGCGCAGGUGGUUCCUUAAGUCUGAUGUGAAAGCCCACGGCUCAACCGUGGAGGGUCAUUGGAAACUGGGGGACUUGAGUGCAGAAGAGGAAAGUGGAAUUCCAAGUGUAGCGGUGAAAUGCGUAGAUAUUUGGAGGAACACCAGUGGCGAAGGCGACUUUCUGGUCUGUAACUGACACUGAGGCGCGAAAGCGUGGGGAGCAAACAGGAUUAGAUACCCGUGUAGUCCCUGUCUCUUAUAC
Molecule: ribosomal RNA, 301 nt
Filed under: uncultured bacterium
Lineage: Bacteria
Description: partial 16S ribosomal RNA
Rfam family: Bacterial small subunit ribosomal RNA
Source: RNAcentral